UACGGAGGGUGCAAGCGUUGUCCGGAUUUAUUGGGUUUAAAGGGUGCGUAGGUGGCUUGUUAAGUCCGGGGUGAAAGCCCACAGCUCAACUGUGGAACUGCCCUGGAUACUGGCGAGCUUGAGUCCAGACGAGGUUGGCGGAAUGGAAGAUGUAGCGGUGAAAUGCAUAGAUAUCUUCCAGAACCCCGAUUGCGAAGGCAGCUGACUAGGCUGGUACUGACGCUGAGGCACGAAAGCGUGGGGAGCGAACAGG
This 253-nucleotide ribosomal RNA is filed under the name uncultured bacterium. Its description in RNAcentral is "partial 16S ribosomal RNA". It matches the Rfam family "Bacterial small subunit ribosomal RNA", at positions 524 to 776 of the family's 1533-position model. The record is from RNAcentral.